RNAcentral lists this unclassified non-coding RNA (281 nucleotides) under Hevea brasiliensis (rubber tree). Lineage: Eukaryota; Viridiplantae; Streptophyta; Magnoliopsida; Malpighiales; Euphorbiaceae. The record is from RNAcentral.
UUUUAAUUAUAAUUUUUUUUUUUUUAUCAAAUCCCACAAAGAUUGUGAGUUGUAUCCUAACAAAUCUCCAAAUUCAUUCAAAAUCUAACUAUCAUACAUAUAGGUGCCUUCAAUAAUCAAAUCUUUAUGGUAGAGCUUAAAUAAUUCGAAUAUGCAAAUUUUAACUUAUAUUGAGUGUAACUUCUUUCUUCAAAUUAAUUUUCACAUCAACUUGCUUGAUUUUGUAUCAAAACUCAACUUUAAUUUUGAAUUUCCACAUCAACUUGCUUGAUUUUGUAUCA